UGAGGAGGGAAAGUCAGUGUGUCAGUGUGACACGUCACGUGGAUAUGCGGGAGACGAUUUUCAAAUAUGUACCAAAUGUUCAAAAUGUCCUCCCGGAAUGGAGUUAAAAAUAGCCGGAAGUUGCGACCAUUGUCCGCCAGGUACAUUCAAACCACUUGAAGGAUAUGGACCGUGCAAACCAUUUACAGAUUGUGAAAUGGAAAACAAGGAAAUUCGUACACCUGGGAAUACAACGACAGAUGUUCAGUGCGGAGAACUACUCAGUACUACGCCAGCUGUAAGUACGACAACCCAGUUAUCGACGUCAUCAC
Ylistrum balloti is the source of this 311-nucleotide long non-coding RNA. RefSeq lists it as uncharacterized. Lineage: Eukaryota; Metazoa; Mollusca; Bivalvia; Pectinida; Pectinidae. The record is from RefSeq and is a predicted model, not a curated record. The transcript has 3 exons.